Molecule: ribosomal RNA, 460 nt
Filed under: uncultured bacterium
Lineage: Bacteria
Description: partial 16S ribosomal RNA
Rfam family: Bacterial small subunit ribosomal RNA
Source: RNAcentral
CCUACGGGAGGCAGCAGUGAGGAAUAUUGGUCAAUGGACGGAAGUCUGAACCAGCCAUGCCGCGUGCAGGAAGACGGCUCUAUGAGUUGUAAACCGCUUUUGUACAAGGGUAAACCUGAAUACGUGUAUUCAGCUGAAAGUACUGUACGAAUAAGGAUCGGCUAACUCCGUGCCAGCAGCCGCGGUAAUACGGAGGAUCCAAGCGUUAUCCGGAUUUAUUGGGUUUAAAGGGUGCGUAGGCGGAUUGAUAAGUUAGAGGUGAAAUGUCCGAGCUUAACUCGGGAACUGCCUCUAAUACUGUUGGUCUAGAGAGUAGAUGCGGUAGGCGGAAUGUAUGGUGUAGCGGUGAAAUGCUUAGAGAUCAUACAGAACACCGAUUGCGAAGGCAGCUUACCAAUCUAUAUCUGACGUUGAGGCACGAAAGCGUGGGGAGCAAACAGGAUUAGAUACCCGAGUAGUC